CUCCCGCCUCAGUUCCGUCUGUGUGGGCUUGAGGUGAGGAGCCAGCUCUGCCUCGGAGGUGGGUCAUGGAAGUGACAGCAAACUUCAGGAACUAGCCGUCGCUCCUGAAUGACACAAUCCCUUAAUUUACCCCGCCUUUGAGAAAACCGUCUCACAUGGGACAGAUGAGGGACCGACAUCAUGAAGGACAAAUCCUAUUUAACCAGAAAGGGGAUCAGCUGGAGACAUCUAUACUCGUCCCUCCUGAACGACUUGUGGUACAAUUGUGCCAUCUCAGAAGAGGUGACCAGACCUGCAGGACUCUCACGCGCUGGUGUGUCAUCAAGAUGUCCAGUCGGACAGGAGUCCAGACAUCACAGCUCAGGUGGAGAUCACAACUACGUCUUCACUACGCCGUGACACCUCAAAUUCACGUCAGACCAGGACUUGGUGAGUGUUCAGAAGACCACCUCUGAAAAGUCUUACUCUCAGGUAAAUCUGAUGUCAUCCAAGUUGGUGGUGUCACUUUCUCUGAUGAAAUCCUGUCAUUGGUCUUGAGCUGCCUCUCUUCUGCUCACUGUCAUAAAUCCACAGUCAUAAACACACGAGUCAUGUGAUGUAGUCCUGAAAAAAAUCACCCCAAAAUCCUCCACGAGACCUGACUGUGUUUUGUGUCACUCACUUGGUGCAUGGUCCCCAGCAUUGUUUCCCCACUGCCCCAUGUAGUUAGAACCCGGCCACCACGGACCACAUUACUGCCACUGACCCACCUGAACAUGAACUCUGAACUUCUUCACAGUGCUCAUGGUAAACUGGCUGUCUGGUUUUAAGACCUCAGUCAGGAACCUUGAGAUGUGCUUUCACUUGUAAUGUUCCCUCAUUCUUUAU
Synchiropus splendidus (mandarinfish) is the source of this 867-nucleotide long non-coding RNA. RefSeq lists it as uncharacterized. Lineage: Eukaryota; Metazoa; Chordata; Actinopteri; Syngnathiformes; Callionymidae. The record is from RefSeq and is a predicted model, not a curated record. The transcript has 4 exons.